ACUUUCAACAACGGAUCUCUUGGCUCUCGCAUCGAUGAAAAACGCAGCGAAAUGCGAUAACUAAKGUGAAUUGCAAAAUUCAGUGAAUCAUCGAGUCUUUGAACGCACCUUGCACCCUUUGGUAUUCCAAAGGGUAUGCCUGUUUGAGUGUCAUU
This 155-nucleotide ribosomal RNA is filed under the name Armillaria sp. Its description in RNAcentral is "5.8S ribosomal RNA". Lineage: Eukaryota; Fungi; Basidiomycota; Agaricomycetes; Agaricales; Physalacriaceae. The record is from RNAcentral.